CGGGUUAUAAUGUAGGGACAUUGGUUAAGGUAGGGAAAUAUAGGCUAAGUGACUCAAAUAGAUCAAGAACAUCAACCUUAUAGCUUCACUAAUCAAGCAUGGAAUAAAUUCCAUCUUCCACCCAACUAUAUCACCAUAAUCAACACAACUCAAGGGAUUUAGUCAUCACAAAACAGAACUAAACACUCUUUUAUGCUCUCAACUUCUUUCCAACACACAAAGUCGACUUUCAAACAAAUAUCUCAAUAUACUCUCGACUUCACACUUUUUUUUUUCUUUCUUUCGUUUUCUUUUCUAAUUUUUUUCUUUUUUUUUCACAACUUUUCUAGAGCUUAUAAAAGUAAAUAGUAGCACAAAAUCAUCCCUUCUUUUCACAACCCACUAUGAAAAUUCACCACACAAAGAUCCCCAUAUACUUCAUCACCCCCUAUCAUCCAGCUAAAGAAUAAAAGCUAAAUAGGCUCAAAGUGGAUAACAAAGGAUAAUUUUUUCGUCAAGGACAGUGUUUGGGAAAAUAAUGUGGCUAACAAAAGAUGGCCUAAAAUCAUC
Molecule: long non-coding RNA, 549 nt
Filed under: Salvia miltiorrhiza (redroot sage)
Lineage: Eukaryota; Viridiplantae; Streptophyta; Magnoliopsida; Lamiales; Lamiaceae
Description: long non-coding RNA (SMIL_LNC009601)
Source: RNAcentral